Molecule: long non-coding RNA, 1038 nt
Filed under: Anser brachyrhynchus (Pink-footed goose)
Lineage: Eukaryota; Metazoa; Chordata; Aves; Anseriformes; Anatidae
Description: lncRNA (ENSABRG00000011529.1)
Source: RNAcentral
AUGAGCCUCCAGCUCCGAGACCACCCCCGGCGUGCCCAGCUCCGGGGCCAGGACCCCGCACGGAGCCUUCGUCUCCCACGAGCGCUCCUGGCUGAGGGUGGCUGUGGAUUUUGGGGCCGGCGGAGGAGACGGGGGUUUGACCGGGACAAGAUAAGGGCUGAUGUGUUUGUGGCUGGGGUGGGGGCUGCCCGAAGCCUUGGUGCCUUUCAGCAGGGAUCAGGGUGGGAGCGUGGACACCCCGGUGUCCUGCCUGCGGGUGUCUUGUUGUCCCCACGUGCCGUCCUCCCUCCUCUGCAGCCUCGGGCAUCAGCAGGACGCGGGGCCAAGAGCAGCCCCCAGCAGGAGACCCCAAAACCCCCAUGGCAUCACUUGUCCCAGCACGGGGGACCACCGGGACCACGCUCCCCUGCAGCCAAACCCUGUCCCCACGCCACCACCAGGCUGUGGGGCCUGUCCCCUUCGGCGCUGGUGACCCCGUGCGCUGCAGCAGGGCUGCUCCGGAUUCACCCCAAAACCCAGCUCCUGGCUGUUGGGGAUGGGGUGGGAGGGAUCUGCCCCUUGUCGCAGCUCAGCCCUGAGAUGCCAAGACCGGGACCACCCAAAUUUUGGGCCUCGGGGGAUAGCGGCGAGGCUCGUCCCCCACCCCCAGGCAGGGGCUGCAGGUGGCAGGGGAGGACAAACCCGGGCACGGGGCACAGCCGGUGGCUGCGGAUCUGCCCCGUGCCGGAGCAGCUGGGCACCACGGGGACGGGCGCCUUGGCUUCACCCCUCAGGGGGGAGCCCCCCAGCUCCCGGCCUCCCGCACCCGCUGGUGGGAUCCCAGUGGUACCAGUGGGCUCGAGACCCGGGAAUGGAGGCAUCCCCCCCCCGCUGGGUGCACUGCCCCUGUCUGCACCGUGCGUUUCCCAACGGGAGCAAAAUGCCAGCACGGGACCUCAGCUCCGACCCCUUCUGAGCCGGGUCCCCAGCCUCGGGCACGGGGACCCCCAGAGCCGCCAGGUCCCCAUCCCUGGGCUCCUCCCUACGUUUUGGAUUUGA